This 363-nucleotide ribosomal RNA is filed under the name Pedesta latris. Its description in RNAcentral is "SSU rRNA". It matches the Rfam family "Eukaryotic small subunit ribosomal RNA", at positions 1162 to 1514 of the family's 1831-position model. Lineage: Eukaryota; Metazoa; Arthropoda; Insecta; Lepidoptera; Hesperiidae. The record is from RNAcentral.
GGGCACCACCAGGGGGUGGAGCUGCGGCUUAUUUGACUCAACACGGGAAAUCUCACCAGGCCCGGACACCGGAAGGAUUGACAGAUUAACAGCUCUUUCUUGAUUCGGUGGGUGGUGGUGCAUGGCCGUUCUUAGUUGGUGGAGCGAUUUGUCUGGUUAAUUCCGGUAACGAACGAGACUCUAGCCUGCUAAAUAGGCGUCGCCAUUUAGGUGUGCUCGACUUCGGUCGUGCAACUCACUGGCGACGUAUUAAAAUUCUUCUUAGAGGGACCGGCGGCUUCCAGCCGCACGAGAUUGAGCAAUAACAGGUCUGUGAUGCCCUUAGAUGUCCUGGGCCGCACGCGCGCUACAUCGAAGGAAUCA